UCUGGCGGCAGUAGCGCGGUGGUCCCACCUGACCCCAUGCCGAACUCAGAAGUGAAACGCCGUAGCGCCGAUGAUAGUGUGGGGUCUCCCCAUGCGAGAGUAGGGAACUGCCAGAC
Molecule: ribosomal RNA, 116 nt
Filed under: Escherichia coli
Lineage: Bacteria; Pseudomonadati; Pseudomonadota; Gammaproteobacteria; Enterobacterales; Enterobacteriaceae
Also listed under: 4 other names
Source: RNAcentral